Molecule: ribosomal RNA, 224 nt
Filed under: uncultured bacterium
Lineage: Bacteria
Description: partial 16S ribosomal RNA
Rfam family: Bacterial small subunit ribosomal RNA
Source: RNAcentral
UACGUAGGGCGCAAGCGUUGUCCGGAAUUAUUGGGCGUAAAGAGCUCGUAGGCGGUUUUGUCGCGUCUGCUGUGAAAUCCUCAGGCUCAACUUGGGGGCGUGCAGUGGGGUACGGGCAGACUAGAGUGCGGUAGGGGGAGACUGGAAUUCCUGGUGUAGCGGUGGAAUGCGCAGAUAUCAGGAGGAACACCGAUGGCGAAGGCAGGUCUCUGGGCCGUAACUGA